GACGAACGCUGGCGGCGGGCUUAACACAUGCAAGUCGAACGGAAAGGCCCUGCUUUUGUGGGGUGCUCGAGUGGCGAACGGGUGAGUAACACGUGAGUAACCUGCCCUUGACUGUGGGAUAACUUCAGGAAACUGGGGCUAAUACCGGAUAGGAGCUCCUGCUGCAUGGGGGGGGUUGGAAAGUUUCGGCGGUUGGGGAUGGACUCGCGGCUUAUCAGCUUGUUGGGGGGGUAGUGGCUUACCAAGGCUUUGACGGGUAGCCGGCCUGAGAGGGUGACCGGCCACCUUGGGACUGAGAUACGGCCCAGUCUCCUACGGUAGGCAGCAGUGGGGAAUCUUGCACAAUGGGCGGAAGCCUGAUGCAGCAACGCCGCGUGCGGGAUGCCGGCCUUCGGGUUGUAAACCGCUUUCGCCUGUGACGAAGCGUGAGUGACGGUAAUGGGUAAAGAAGCACCGGCUAACUACGUG
Molecule: ribosomal RNA, 468 nt
Filed under: uncultured bacterium
Lineage: Bacteria
Description: partial 16S ribosomal RNA
Rfam family: Bacterial small subunit ribosomal RNA
Source: RNAcentral